UCUUUUAACCAAACGGAUAUCUUACAACUAUGUAUCUAAUUCGUAAAUAAAUUUACUUUUUACACACUAUUAAUCCAUUCUCUCUUAUGCGGUAUUUAUUUUUCUUCUUAAUAAUCAACUGGCUUAGAAAAAAAUUCAUAUCUUUCAGCAAGCUUUUCAAACAUAAUUAAAUAAAAAAAUAUUUUUUUAAAAAAAUAAUCCUUGUUGUAAAAAUGGUAAGAGUAGUAUAUAGCACUAUGUAUGUCACAAAUUAUGUUAAGAAUUUGAUUUUCAUUUUUUUAACUUUAGCUUAUGGUUUCAAUAUAUAUAGUGGAAGGAUACAUUAAAUAUUUUUAAUCUUCAAUUUAUAUAUAAGAUUUGUUUCCUAAAUAGUGUCUUUUUUUUUUGACACACCAGAAAAUGACACGUGUCAUUGCUAGUGUGUCUUUUAGUAUAUAGUUAUGGAUAGUUAGCAAAUAUUAAUUUCUUUCGGUAUAAUAGUUAGGGUUGUUAAAAAAAAACCCGACCCGAUUGUCCUGUCCCGAUUAUCCGAUGACCCGCAAAAAACCCGAUGGGAAAUUGAUGAAUUUUUCUUUUUUUUUAAGGUCGGGAACCCGUCCCACUAAAAUAGCAGUUUCGUGGGCUGGGACAUGAGACAGGCUUUGCUAAUCUCAAGUACCCGGAUAUCCGUUAAAAAAAAAAUUCGUUACUCCCUAACCAGUCAGCCCACUUAGACCCAGGGUUCCAAUUUUCCCACUCCAAAAAAAAAAAAAAACGAUAGUCAGACUUCUUCUCUUUCUCUUUCUUGCGCCUCAUCUCGACAUCUCCUCCCUAAAAAAAUCAAUCAAUUCCUCACUCGAAAUUCGACUCGAUUCAUCCUCAAACUUCAGUCGAUCUCAGUUCACUCAAUCUUCUCGCCACCUCAGGUUAGUUUGUUGUAAUUUUUGUUCACUAUAAUUUGUUGUGUUUUUUAUUAUGGAUGGGCGGUAUUGAAUAUUGAUUGUGAAUGGGUUGUUGAUUGGGGUAUGGAACUAAUUUGAGUUGAUUUUGUGUUCUUUUGAUUUUUAUUAUCUUCCUGUUUUUCGUCUUAAUGUGGGAUUAUGCAUAAGUUACUGAUUUUUUUUUCACUUCCUGUAAUUCUAAUUAAUUUGUUUACGUUUGAUUUUUUUUUUUUUCACUUUCUGUUUUCACUUAUAGUAUUCUGUUUUUGUUUGAUUGUUUUUUUCACUUCCUGAAAUUCUAAUUAAUCUGUUUUCAUUUUUUAUUCUGUUUUCAUUUAUAUUACUUGUUGUUAUUUAUAUUAUUCUAUUUUUGUAUUAUGUUUUCAUACGUGGAAUUUUGUUAUCAUUUUAUUAUUCUGUUUUUGUUUUAUAAUAAUUUAUAUCAUAUGAUUAGAGAUGGAAAUGGAUCCAGAUCCAACCCGGAUCCGCGGACCCAUAUCCGUCUUUGACGGAUCUGGAUCCGGAAAAUUUGGACCCGUCGGAUCCGGAUCCACUGCUGAAAACGGGUCUGGAUCCGGAUCUCACUCUGAGAUCCGGAUCCGUUUACCCGUUUUAAAAAAAAUAUAUAUAAAAUGCCAUGUAUAACAAAUUGUGUCAGCAGAAAUACUCCAAAGCCCAAAGAGUCCAAAACUCCAAACCCUAAAACACGACAUUCCAGUAUAACAGCAUUCCCAAUUCCAAUACUUUGCUAAGCUUGAUUCUUGGGAAUGUUGAGAUUAUUGGAUUUUGUUUUAUAAAAAUUAUUGUUUUUAUUAAGAAAUUCAUAUAAAAGCGAAAGGAUCCGUUUUGGACCCGGAUCUGGAUAUGGAUCCUAGUGUUCAGAUUUGACGGAUCUGGAUCCAAGGUCUGAAAACAGAUAUGGAUCUGGAUCCAGACAGAUCCGAUCCAGAUCCGGCCCGUUGCCAUCCCUACAUAUGAUUAUUUAAUAAUUUAUUAUACUGUUUUCUUUUGUUAACCAAAAAAUGUCAACAUUUGAUGAUGAUUCUGAUGACUUGAUGGAGACAAAUUCAAGUCAAGAAGUUGAAGCACAAGAUUCUGAUGAGGCAGAGGUUUUGGAGAAGGCUCCAAAACCAUGGCCUAAGAAGAAAAGAGCAGGGAAGAAACCAAAAGGCUAAAAAGGAGGUAAAAGGAAAAAAAACCUCUAAUGCUUGGGAACACUUUAAAGUAAUUAAAACUGACCCUAACCAUGCUAAAUGUCUUUAUUGUGGGGCAAUAAUUGGUUGUGAUCCAAAGAAUGAAACUAAUGGCAUGUAUCGACACACUGAUAGGUGUAAAAAAUCUCCAUUUUACAAAGAUAAAUCUCAAACUAUCUUACAUUUUGAGUCUAGGACAAAGAUUAAUACUGAUGGGAGUGUCCAAACUGUUAAUGUUCCUAAAUUGUGGAGAUUUAAUCAUGAUGAGAUUAGAAAAACACUUGCUAAGAUGAUAAUUGUAGAUGAGUUGCCUUUUGCUUUUGUUAAACGUGAAUGUUUUCGUCAGUUUUGUAAAGUUGUUGUUCCUAAAUUUGUUCCUCCCUCGCGUGCUACCAUUACAAGGGAUUGUUAUGGUCUUUUUAUUGAUCAAAGGAAAAAGUUAAAGAAUUUUUUCAACAAUUUGUCUUCUAGAGUAUGUCUUACUAUAUAUACAUGGACUUUAGGUCAAAACUUGUCAUAUAUGUGUCUUACUGCUAUUUCAUUGAUGAUGAUUGGAAAUUGCAUAAGAGAAUCAUUAACUUUUGUCCUAUUACCAGUCAUUCUGGGGAGCUUAUUGGUAAAUCUGUUGAAAAAUGUUUGUUAGAAUGGAAUUUGAAGAGGGUUAUGACUGUAACAAUUGAAUGCUAGCUCAAAUGAUUUGGCUAUAAAAUACUUGAAAAAAAUCUUUAAUAUUUGGGAUGGGUUUGUGUUGAAUUCUAAGUUUUUGCAUAUGAGAUGUGCCGCACACAUUUUGAAUUUGGUUGUUAAAGAUAGCUUGAAAGAUGUGAAUGUUUUUGUUUUAAAAGUCCGAGCUGCCGUGAAAUAUGUGAGGUCUUCUUCUAGGCUUCAAAAGUUCAAGUCUUGUGUUAGAAGAAGAGAACAUCACUUGUAAAGGUCUUGUUUGUUUAGAUAUUGAAACAAGAUGGAAUUCCACCUAUUUGAUGCUUAAGACUGCUUUAGUGUUUAGGAAAGCCUUUAAAAAUAUGAAAACAAAGUUCUCUCCUUACACUAAAGAGCUUAUGAAGCAACCGGUGGGGGGUGCUCCCGAUGAUGAGGAUUGGAAUAAAAUUCAAAGUUUCUUGCCUUUUUUUGAAAUUUUUUAUAAUGCUACUUUGAAGUUGUCCGGAUCCCACUAUGUGACAGGAAAUACUUUUAAGGAAGAGAUUUAUGAUAUUGGGUACACCAUUUAUGACUAUGCUAGUGAUCCGAAUGAUGAUGUUAAGAAUAUGGCAACACAAAUGAAUUUGAAAUUUGACAAGUAUUGGGAAAAUGUUCGUAAUAUUAAUAUCUUGAUGUUCAUUGCAUUGAUUCUUGAUCCAAGGAAUAAGAUGAAGUAUACGGAGCAUAUUGUGCGUAAUUCUUAUGAUGUUAGCAAUCCCUAUAUUUUGUGUAAACGUAUUCAAGAUACAUUAAAUUCAUUAUAUGAUUGUUAUGCACAAAAAGUGGGGUCAUCUUCUACUAAUAUUGCCUCUACAAGUCAAAGUGAAAAGGGUGGGAAAGAACAAAAAAAGGGUUCUAACAAUGUAUCUCGAUUGAGGGAUAUAUAGUUUUGUAAGGGAGAUUGGGAAUGAUUCAUCUUCCAAAGGAAUGACCGAAUUAGAAAAGUAUUUAGGGGAUAAACUAGAGCCUAGUGAUGAGGAUUUUGAUACUUUGGCAUGGUGGAGUGCACAAGGAAAAACAUAUCCAAUACUUAUGACUAUGGCUCGUGAUAUUCUUGCUAUUCCGGUUUCUUCUAUUGCUUCGGAGUCCACUUUUAGCACGGGAGGACGUGUUAUAGAUUCCUUUCGUACUUCUUUGAGCACAAAAAUGGUAGAAGGUCUUGUUUGUGGCCAAGAUUAGACGCGUAGCUCCAAUGUCCCUAUUACUAUAGAGGAAAACUUGCUUGAAUUAGAAAAUAUGGAAGAAGAAGUAUUUGUGUUUUGUAGGAAUGAAAGACUUGGUUUUGGAGCAACCGACGAUUGUUAUUGAUGAGACAAUGGAUGGAAAUAUCGGAUCUCACAAGUGAAUGAAUUGAUCCCCUCCCAUUUCGUUUGUUGUGUGGCUUUGUGCCAUAAUUUGUACUUUGUAUGUUUUGAAGUUAUGUAACUAAAAACUCAAAAACUUUGUAUUCCCAUCCUUAAACUCUAGUUUUGAUUUUUU
Chenopodium quinoa (quinoa) is the source of this 4291-nucleotide long non-coding RNA. RefSeq lists it as uncharacterized. The record is from RefSeq and is a predicted model, not a curated record. Lineage: Eukaryota; Viridiplantae; Streptophyta; Magnoliopsida; Caryophyllales; Amaranthaceae. The transcript is spliced from 3 exons.